RNAcentral lists this ribosomal RNA (505 nucleotides) under uncultured bacterium. RNAcentral describes it as "bacterial SSU rRNA". It matches the Rfam family "Bacterial small subunit ribosomal RNA", at positions 28 to 525 of the family's 1533-position model. The record is from RNAcentral.
GACGAACGCUGGCGGCGUGGAUUAGGCAUGCAAGUCGAACGGUAUCAUCCUUUCGGGGGUGAGAGAGUGGCGAACUGGUGAGUAACACGUAGGUUAUCUACCCUCAAGACGGGGACAACCCAGGGAAACUUGGGCUAAUACCGGAUGUGAGCAAACUUUUAGUUGUUUGAAAGGUGGCGUAAGCUGUCGCUUGGGGAUGAGCCUGCGUCCUAUUAGUUAGUUGGUGAGGUAACGGCUCACCUAGGCAAUGAUAGGUAGGCGGCCUUAACGGGUGGUCGCCCACACUGGGAUUGAGAUACGGCCCAGACUCCUACGGGAGGCAGCAGUCGAGAAUAGUCUAACAAUGGUCGGAAGACUGAUAGUGCGACGCCGCGUGAACGAUGAAUCCCUUCGGGUGUAAAGUUCUUUUAUAUGUGAGCAGUGCUUCUUAUAUUAACAGUAUGGGGAGAGAGAUAUUAGCAUAUGAAUAAGCAAGGCUAACUCCGUGCCAGCAGCCGCGGUAAAG